UUCUUUUUUUAUUUGAUUGUCUUAUAAAAUAUUUUGGAACGUUAAGGUUACAUAGUUACCAAAGCAGGUAACCAGUAAAUAACAGUGUAAAAUUUGGGUUGUUUACUUCCGACGAUGAUUACUUUCUUAUAUGCAAUGAAAUGUAGUGUGAAAUUUUCACUGUAUCACUGGAAAGGAUUAAACUUUAUACAUGCAAAGUAUUUCUUUGGUUGAAAUAAAGUGUUAACCAUGUUCUGAAGAGUAUUCUGUUGAAAAAUAUUAUAUGUGAAUUGGUCUGCAGAUGACACUUCAGCAUUAAAACAAAAGAUAUCAAGUUUUGAUGAAAAAGGAAAGAUGGAGGGAAAAUGGACCAAUACAGACUAAAACAGACCUUCAAAUGAACUCUAAAAGGUGC
Long non-coding RNA from Mytilus trossulus (common blue mussel), 394 nucleotides. RefSeq lists it as uncharacterized. The transcript has 3 exons. NCBI's taxonomy places the organism in Eukaryota, Metazoa, Mollusca, Bivalvia, Mytilida, Mytilidae. The record is from RefSeq and is a predicted model, not a curated record.